Molecule: small RNA, 18 nt
Filed under: Arabidopsis thaliana (thale cress)
Lineage: Eukaryota; Viridiplantae; Streptophyta; Magnoliopsida; Brassicales; Brassicaceae
Description: ATSL126660
Source: RNAcentral
ACAAAAAACGAAAAAAAC